Molecule: ribosomal RNA, 497 nt
Filed under: uncultured bacterium
Lineage: Bacteria
Description: partial 16S ribosomal RNA
Rfam family: Bacterial small subunit ribosomal RNA
Source: RNAcentral
GACGAACGCUGGCGGCGUGCCUAAUACAUGCAAGUUGAGCGAUGAAGCUUGGUGCUUGCACCACUUUGAAGAGCAGCGAACGGGUGAGUAACGCGUGGGGAAUCUGCCUUUGAGCGGGGGACAACAUUUGGAAACGAAUGCUAAUACCGCAUAACAACUUUAAACAUAAGUUUUAAGUUUGAAAGAUGCAAUUGCAUCACUCAAAGAUGAUCCCGCGUUGUAUUAGCUAGUUGGUGAGGUAAAGGCUCACCAAGGCGAUGAUACAUAGCCGACCUGAGAGGGUUGACGGCCACAUUGGGACUGGGACACGGCCCAAGCUCCUACGGGAAGCAGCAGUAGGGAAUCUUCGGCAAUUGACGAAAGGCUGGCCGGGCAAAGCCGCGUGAGUGAAGAAGGGUCUCGGAUCGUAAAACUCUGUUGGUAGAGAAGAACGUAGGGGGGAGUGGAAAGCUCAUCAAGUGACGGUAACUACCCAGAAAGGGACGGCUAACUACGUG